UACGAAGGGAGCUAGCGUUGCUCGGAAUCACUGGGCGUAAAGCGCACGUAGGCGGAUUGCUAAGUCAGGGGUGAAAUCCUGGAGCUCAACUCCAGAACUGCCUUUGAUACUGGCGACCUUGAGUCCGGGAGAGGUGAGUGGAACUGCGAGUGUAGAGGUGAAAUUCGUAGAUAUUCGCAAGAACACCAGUGGCGAAGGCGGCUCACUGGCCCGGUACUGACGCUGAGGUGCGAAAGCGUGGGGAGCAAACAGG
Molecule: ribosomal RNA, 253 nt
Filed under: uncultured bacterium
Lineage: Bacteria
Description: partial 16S ribosomal RNA
Rfam family: Bacterial small subunit ribosomal RNA
Source: RNAcentral